AUUGAACGCUGGCGGCAGGCCUAACACAUGCAAGUCGAGCGAGCGGCGGACGGGUGAGUAAUGUCUGGGAAACUGCCUGAUGGAGGGGGAUAACUACUGGAAACGGUAGCUAAUACCGCAUACCAUCAGAUGUGCCCAGAUGGUGUUAGCUCGUCGGUGGGGUAACGGCUCACCUAGGCGACGAUCCCUAGCUGGUCUUAGAGGAUGACCAGCCACCCUGGAACUGAGACACGGUCCAGACUCCUACGGGAGGCAGCAGUGGGGAAUAUUGCACAAUGGGCGCAAGCCUGAUGCAGCCAUGCCGCGUGUGUGAAGAAGUCCUUCGGGUUGUAAAGCACUUUCAGCGGGGAGGCGGGAACAGAAGAAGAAGCACCGGCUAACUCCGUGCCAGCAGCCGCGGUAAUAA
Molecule: ribosomal RNA, 406 nt
Filed under: uncultured bacterium
Lineage: Bacteria
Description: partial 16S ribosomal RNA
Rfam family: Bacterial small subunit ribosomal RNA
Source: RNAcentral